GAAAGCGAUGCUAAUACCGGAUAACAUCUUUUAUACUACGGUAUAUUUGAUCAAAGGUGGCCUCUACAUGUAAGCUUCUGUUUGAGGAUGAGCCCGCGUACCAUUAGCUUGUUGGUAGGGUAACGGCCUACCAAGGCUGCGAUGGUUAGCUGGUCUGAGAGGAUGAUCAGCCACACUGGAACUGACACACGGUCCAGACUCCUACGGGAGGCAGCAGUGAGGAAUUUUGCGCAAUGGGGGAAACCCUGACGCAGCAACGCCGCGUGAGUGAUGAAGGCUUUCGGGUCGUAAAGCUCUGUCAAGUGGGAAGAACCCAUAUGGUGUUAAUACCACCAUAUGUUGACGGUACCACUGAAGGAAGCACCGGCUAACUCCGUGCCAGCAGCCGCGGUAAUACGGGGGGUGCAAAGCGUUAUUCGGAAUUACUGGGCGUAAAGAGCGCGUANGCGGUCUCUUAAGUCGGAUGUGAAAGCCCGGGGCUUUAACCCCGGAAGUGCAUUC
This 501-nucleotide ribosomal RNA is filed under the name uncultured bacterium. Its description in RNAcentral is "bacterial SSU rRNA". It matches the Rfam family "Bacterial small subunit ribosomal RNA", at positions 153 to 628 of the family's 1533-position model. The record is from RNAcentral.